Molecule: non-coding RNA, 45 nt
Organism: Schistosoma rodhaini
Lineage: Eukaryota; Metazoa; Platyhelminthes; Trematoda; Strigeidida; Schistosomatidae
Source: Rfam
AUUCGGCUGAUGAAUCUCAAAUCAGACGGAACGCGCGUCCUGGAU